GAUGAACGCUGGCGGCGUGCCUAAUACAUGCAAGUCGAGCGAACAGACGAGGAGCUUGCUCCUCUGACGUUAGCGGCGGACGGGUGAGUAACACGUGGAUAACCUACCUAUAAGACUGGGAUAACUUCGGGAAACCGGAGCUAAUCCCGGAUAAUAUAUUGAACCGCAUGGUUCAAUAGUGAAAGACGGUUUUGCUGUCACUUAUAGCUGCAUCCGGGCGGCAUUAGCUGGUUGCUAAGGUAACGGCUUACCAAGGCAACGAGGCGUAGCCGACGUGCGUGGGGGAUCGCCCACACGGGAACUGAGACACGGACCAGGCUCCUACGGGAGGCAGCAGUAGGGAAUCGUCCGCAAUGGGCGAAAGCCUGACGGAGCAACGCCGCGUGAGUGAUGAAGGUCUUCGGAUCGUAAAACUCUGUUAUGAGGGAAGAACAAAUGUGUAAGUAACUAUGCACGGCGUGACGGUACCUAAUCAGAAAGCCACGGCUAACUACGUG
This 497-nucleotide ribosomal RNA is filed under the name uncultured bacterium. RNAcentral's name for it is "partial 16S ribosomal RNA". It matches the Rfam family "Bacterial small subunit ribosomal RNA", at positions 28 to 507 of the family's 1533-position model. The record is from RNAcentral.